AACCCUUACGGGAGCCAGCCGCCGAAGGUGGGACAGAUGAUUGGGGUGAAGUCGUAACAAGGUAGCCGUAUCGGAAGGUGCGGCUGGAUCACCUCCUUUCUAAGGA
Molecule: ribosomal RNA, 106 nt
Filed under: Sporosarcina sp. HYO08
Lineage: Bacteria; Bacillati; Bacillota; Bacilli; Caryophanales; Caryophanaceae
Description: partial 16S ribosomal RNA
Rfam family: Bacterial small subunit ribosomal RNA
Source: RNAcentral